Molecule: long non-coding RNA, 1257 nt
Organism: Astatotilapia calliptera (eastern happy)
Lineage: Eukaryota; Metazoa; Chordata; Actinopteri; Cichliformes; Cichlidae
Source: Ensembl
GUAAGAACAAGAUCCGGGCCAUCAACACGUACGCCCUGCCCGUGAUCAGGUACCCUGCUGGGGUAAUAGGCUGGCCAAAGGAGGAGAUAGAAGCCACUGACAUAAAGACAAGAAAGCUCCUUACCAUGCAUGGAGGGUUUCACCCCCAAGAAUGACCGAGCUAAGAUCCUGUGGGACUUCCAGAUACAGACGGACAAAAUGGUGGUGGCUAACCAACCGGACAUAGUGGUGGUAGACAAACAGAAGAAGACGGCCGUAGUGAUCGAUGUAGCGGUUCCGAAUGACAGCAAUAUCAGGAAGAAGGAACACGAGAAGCUGGAGAAAUACCAAGGGCUCAGAGAAGAGCUCGAGAGGAUGUGGAGGGUGAAGGUAACGGUGGUCCCCGUGGUAAUCGGAGCACUAGGUGCGGUGACUCCCAAGCUAGGCGAGUGGCUCCAGCAGAUCCCGGGAACAACAUCGGAGAUCUCUGUCCAGAAGAGCGCAGUCCUGGGAACAGCUAAGAUACCGCGCAGGACCCUCAAGCUCCCAGGCCUCUGAUAGAGGACCCGAGCUUGAAGGAUAAACCGCCCGCAGGGGCGUGCUGGGUGUUUUUUUGUUUUUUUUUAAUGUGUGAAUGUAUAAAUGAAGUGUAAAAUUGUUUUUGGAUGAAUGAUUAAAGGUGCACAUUGUUUUGAAACUGGGUGGGUGUGUGUGUGAGACAAUUAUCUUUUAAGGAAGUUCAGGGAAGUGUGCAAAAUGCUGAUGAAAGUAUUGUGUGAAUGAUGCUACAAAACUGAGCUGAAAGAAUGGUGAUGGAAAAACUGCUAAUUAUCCUGAGGAUUUGUGCCAAACGAGCUCUGUUAAGCACACUGAAGAUUUUGAUGUGAAUACUUGCAGAUGCAAAGAGCUUAGUAUAUUUAAGGGUGUGUGUGUGUGUGCGUGUACGGAGGGUGCAUUCUUUUUAGAUCAACACUUAGCAGAGAUACAGAGGGUUUAUAGACUAAAAACACAACAUCCAGUAUCUUAACAAAAAAAAUUCUGCUCAGAACUGGAAGAAAAACCCUGAUUAGAAGCUCACAUCAAGACAAUAGCUCCUCGGUUCACAGUAGCAUCGCUCUGCUAACAUGCUAACAUCACAUUUGAGCUACUCACCCCCGUCCUGUGCUGAAUCGUAGGGUAAGCGAAUGACUCAGGACUCACUAACCCCCUCCCUCCUGUGCUGAAUCGUAAGCGUAAGCGAAUCACUCAGGACUUGCUCACCCCCUCCCUCCUGUGCUG